RNAcentral lists this ribosomal RNA (198 nucleotides) under uncultured eukaryote. RNAcentral describes it as "partial 18S ribosomal RNA". It matches the Rfam family "Eukaryotic small subunit ribosomal RNA", at positions 1299 to 1458 of the family's 1831-position model. The record is from RNAcentral.
GCGUGAAGUGAUUUGUCUGGUUAAUUCCGUUAACGAACGAGAUCUCAGCUUACUAAAUAGUUGCAUGAAUUGUCUACCAGGUGAAGCAGGAAGGUGACUGGAUUCAUUCAGUCGCCAACUUGUGAAUCCUUGAUGAAUUGAUGUCAGCUUCUUAGAGGACAAUUUGCGUUGAGCAGGUGGAAGUUUGAGGCAAUAACA